UACGGAGGGUGCAAGCGUUAUCCGGAAUGAUUGGGCGUAAAGCGUCCGCAGGUGGCUAUGUAAGUCUGCUGUCAAAGCGUCUGGCUCAACCAGAUAAAGGCAGUGGAAACUACAUAGCUAGAGUAAAGUAGGGGUAGAGGGAAUUCCUGGUGUAGCGGUGAAAUGCGUAGAGAUCAGGAAGAACACCGGUGGCGAAAGCGCUCUGCUGGACCUAAACUGACACUGAGGGACGAAAGCUAGGGGAGCGAAUGGG
This 253-nucleotide ribosomal RNA is filed under the name uncultured bacterium. RNAcentral describes it as "partial 16S ribosomal RNA". It matches the Rfam family "Bacterial small subunit ribosomal RNA", at positions 524 to 776 of the family's 1533-position model. The record is from RNAcentral.